Molecule: ribosomal RNA, 497 nt
Filed under: uncultured bacterium
Lineage: Bacteria
Description: partial 16S ribosomal RNA
Rfam family: Bacterial small subunit ribosomal RNA
Source: RNAcentral
GAUGAACGCUGGCGGCGUGCCUAAUACAUGCAAGUCGAGCGAACAGACGAGGAGCUUGCUCCUCUGACGUUAGCGGCGGACGGGUGAGUAACACGUGGAUAACCUACCUAUAAGACUGGGAUAACUUCGGGAAACCGGAGCUAAUACCGGAUAAUAUAUUGAACCGCAUGGUUCAAUAGUGAAAGACGGUUUUGCUGUCACUUAUAGAUGGAUCCGCGCCGCAUUAGCUAGUUGGUAAGGUAACGGCUUACCAAGGCAACGAUGCGUAGCCGACCUGAGAGGGUGAUCGGCCACACUGGAUCUGAGACACGGUCCAGACUCCUACGGGAGGCAGCAGUAGGGAAUCUUCCGCAAUGGGCGAAAGCUUGACGGAGCAACGCCGCGUGAGUGAUGAAGGUCUUCGGAUCGUAAAACUCUGUUAUUAGGGAAGAACAAAUGUGUAAGUAACUAUGCACGUCUUGACGGUACCUAAUCAGAAAGCCACGGCUAACUACGUG